Molecule: ribosomal RNA, 811 nt
Filed under: uncultured bacterium
Lineage: Bacteria
Description: bacterial SSU rRNA
Rfam family: Bacterial small subunit ribosomal RNA
Source: RNAcentral
AGAGUUUGAUCCUGGCUCAGGAUGAACGCUAGCUACAGGCUUAACACAUGCAAGUCGAGGGGCAGCAUGAAUCAAGCUUGCUUGAUUCGAUGGCGACCGGCGCACGGGUGAGUAACGCGUAUCCAACCUGGCCCUUACUCGGGUAUAGCCCUGCGAAAGUAGGAUUAAUCCCCGAUGACGUAUGUCUCCCGCAUGAGGGGCAUACCAAAGUUUUUCGGUAAGGGAUGGGGAUGCGACUGAUUAGCUUGUUGGCGGGGUAACGGCCCACCAAGGCGACGAUCAGUAGGGGUUCUGAGAGGAAGGUCCCCCACAUUGGAACUGAGACACGGUCCAAACUCCUACGGGAGGCAGCAGUGAGGAAUAUUGGUCAAUGGGCGAGAGCCUGAACCAGCCAAGUAGCGUGAAGGAUGACUGCCCUAUGGGUUGUAAACUUCUUUUGUUCGGGAAUAAAGUGCGGGACGUGUCCCGCUUUGCAUGUACCGUUCGAAUAAGCAUCGGCUAAUUCCGUGCCAGCAGCCGCGGUAAUACGGAAGAUGCGAGCGUUAUCCGGAUUUAUUGGGUUUAAAGGGAGCGUAGGCGGUCCUUUAAGUCAGCGGUCAAAUGUCAGCGCCCAACGCUGGCCUGCCGUUGAUACUGGAGGACUUGAAUACACACAAGGAAGGUGGAAUUCGUCGUGUAGCGGUGAAAUGCUUAGAUAUGACGAAGAACUCCGAUUGCGAAGGCAGCCUUCUGGAGUGCGAUUGACGCUGAGGCUCGAAAGCGCGGGUAUCAAACAGGAUUAGAUACCCUGGUAGUCCGCGCCGUAAACGAU